RNAcentral lists this long non-coding RNA (680 nucleotides) under Hordeum vulgare. RNAcentral describes it as "long non-coding RNA (HVUL_LNC011076)". Lineage: Eukaryota; Viridiplantae; Streptophyta; Magnoliopsida; Poales; Poaceae. The record is from RNAcentral.
GAGGCGGCAUGAAAUGAUGAUGGAGUGCUCGUCCGAUUCACCGCCCACCGUGCAGCCCGGCCGGCCUUUGCGGCGGAUCCAGGCAUAUGCAUGGCUACCGGAGCAUAUCGGACUAGUACCAUGGAGUACCAUCUGGCUAGGCUUUGGGCAGUGGCCGGCACCCGUAUGAUGAGGCGCUGAAAGGUCGGUUCAUCCAUGGAGCGUGCGCGCGCGCGUGCAUGGACAGACAAUUGGUUGGACGCUAGUUCCGUCCAUGCUCGGAACAUGACCGACUGCCCGUCGAUCGGAUUGAACGGCACCAUGCUAGCUAGCUAGUCAGCUAGAAAGUGCCGCGACUCUCUAAUCUACUAUACCUACUUAAUUUGAGCCUCUUCUGUCGUGCAAAAAAAUGGUUUCCGCAUAACUUACUUGCCGGAUAGGCACGUCCGGUCGCGCAUUUGGGCCAGUAGGUGUCGAGACGACGAGAAGGGCUGGUGUCGUGUCCAUCACUCGUUGGGCGAUGAGGGUGCGUUGUCGCGCGCUCUGCUCCCUGUCAAAUAAGGCUAGUCAUAGUGGAAGUAACUCAGCUAGUGAUAUAACAUAUUUGCUUAUGUUAUCAUAACAUAGCGUUUUUAGCGCUUUUCAAGACAAGUUGAGUCUACAGGCUAAGAGCAUCUACAGCCUUAAAAUUAUUCUGUUUG